This 631-nucleotide ribosomal RNA is filed under the name Stereocaulon tornense. RNAcentral's name for it is "SSU rRNA". It matches the Rfam family "Eukaryotic small subunit ribosomal RNA", at positions 20 to 654 of the family's 1831-position model. Lineage: Eukaryota; Fungi; Ascomycota; Lecanoromycetes; Lecanorales; Stereocaulaceae. The record is from RNAcentral.
GUAGUCAUAUGCUUGUCUCAAAGAUUAAGCCAUGCAUGUCUAAGUAUAAGCAAUCUAUACGGUGAAACUGCGAAUGGCUCAUUAAAUCAGUUAUCGUUUAUUUGAUAGUACCUCACUACUUGGAUACCUGUGGUAAUUCUAGAGCUAAUACAUGCUAAAAACCUCGACUUCGGAAGGGGUGUAUUUAUUAGAUAAAAAACCAAUGCCCUUCGGGGCUCCUUGGUGAUUCAUAAUAACUCAACGAAUCGCAUGGCCUUGCGCCGGCGAUGGUUCAUUCAAAUUUCUGCCCUAUCAACUUUCGAUGGUAGGAUAGUGGCCUACCAUGGUUUCUACGGGUAACGGGGAAUUAGGGUUCUAUUCCGGAGAGGGAGCCUGAGAAACGGCUACCACAUCCAAGGAAGGCAGCAGGCGCGCAAAUUACCCAAUCCCGACACGGGGAGGUAGUGACAAUAAAUACUGAUACAGGGCUCUUUUGGGUCUUGUAAUUGGAAUGAGUACAAUUUAAAUCCCUUAACGAGGAACAAUUGGAGGGCAAGUCUGGUGCCAGCAGCCGCGGUAAUUCCAGCUCCAAUAGCGUAUGUUAAAGUUGUUGCAGUUAAAAAGCUCGUAGUUGAAACUUGGGUCUGGCUGA